RNAcentral lists this long non-coding RNA (1008 nucleotides) under Papio anubis (olive baboon). RNAcentral describes it as "lncRNA (ENSPANG00000037650.1)". Lineage: Eukaryota; Metazoa; Chordata; Mammalia; Primates; Cercopithecidae. The record is from RNAcentral.
AUGCAAAGCACAUCUGGCGCUAAGUCCAAAAUGCGCCCUCGGGUUCUCUCAGCCCCUCCACUGCUAUAUUCUUCUUCCUCAGUCUCUCUUUCUCAUCCGGAGACGCCUUUCCACCUAUCACGGUGGGCUGAUCUUCAAACUGCGAUUGGUUGUCAACCAGAUGUAACUCUAUUCACCAAACUAUCUCUCACAAUUGGAUGGUGGGGGUGGUUGGUAACCGCAUUUAAUCCUGGGCUGACAAUGGGAUUGGAUUCUUGGUUACACGGCCCUGCGCGGUCGCCCUGCGGUAAAUGGCCUCUCAGCCCAAACCCACCCUGGUUUACUGAGCAUGCCCAGACCUCCCUCCCGGGCCACCAAAGGAGGGGCACCAUUUCUGCAGGAUUUUGCCACUGUGGAAAGAGAGGCGGAGCUGUCAUCGCGCAGAGGCAGGGACUGAUACGCGGAAAGGACGUGGAGAUGGGAAUAAGUAAUGAAGGACCCGCAUUGACCGUGUUAGCACACAAAUCUAAUUGCCCUCUGGUGCAAACUUACCACCCUGUGGCCGUGGCUCAGCUACCUGCACACACACACCAAGUUCCUACACACCUUUCCCCCGCUUGGCCCCACACAAUUCAUGGCACUCACAGCCCACAUCCUACCUCCUUCUCCGCACCAGAUACGCACCCGCACUCACUCCCCAAACACGUGGCAUCUGGUAACCUGGGAAACGCCGCGGCGGUGGCGCAGUGCGCAACAGGGGCGGGGGAAUCAGGCGGGGCACUGGGGCGAGGGAAGCUGGAGAUUUGGGGAGGGGGUUUCUAUUUGUUUUUUCGCCCACUUUUUGUUUUUUGUUUUUUUGGUGGGGGAAGCAGAAUAAACCAAACCGCGACACGUUCCUGCGCCCUUCUUGGUGCAGUGGCGCAGACAUGGUCCAUGGCGCCUUGGGCAAUAGAGCAGGUCUGCACCCCCUCUCUAAGUCGUGGCACUGGGCUGGAAUUCCCGACUGCACCCUUUGCUACACCCCCAUAG